RNAcentral lists this ribosomal RNA (411 nucleotides) under Streptomyces noursei. Its description in RNAcentral is "bacterial SSU rRNA". It matches the Rfam family "Bacterial small subunit ribosomal RNA", at positions 39 to 451 of the family's 1533-position model. The record is from RNAcentral. Lineage: Bacteria; Bacillati; Actinomycetota; Actinomycetes; Kitasatosporales; Streptomycetaceae.
GCGGCGUGCUUAACACAUGCAAGUCGAACGAUGAACCUCCUUCGGGAGGGGAUUAGUGGCGAACGGGUGAGUAACACGUGGGCAAUCUGCCCUUCACUCUGGGACAAGCCCUGGAAACGGGGUCUAAUACCGGAUAUGACACGGGGUCGCAUGAUCUCCGUGUGGAAAGCUCCGGCGGUGAAGGAUGAGCCCGCGGCCUAUCAGCUUGUUGGUGAGGUAGUGGCUCACCAAGGCGACGACGGGUAGCCGGCCUGAGAGGGCGACCGGCCACACUGGGACUGAGACACGGCCCAGACUCCUACGGGAGGCAGCAGUGGGGAAUAUUGCACAAUGGGCGAAAGCCUGAUGCAGCGACGCCGCGUGAGGGAUGACGGCCUUCGGGUUGUAAACCUCUUUCAGCAGGGAAGAAGC